RNAcentral lists this non-coding RNA (702 nucleotides) under Parascaris univalens. Lineage: Eukaryota; Metazoa; Nematoda; Chromadorea; Rhabditida; Ascarididae. The record is from RNAcentral.
UUUAAGUUUUACUUAUAAGGGUUUUAAAUUUGAUUGUGGUUUUAAGUAGUGUUAUAAUGAUGUUAUCUGUUAGGGAUUCAUAAAGUGGGCAAUGGUUUUUUACCCUGGCAUUUUGUCAUUUGUAUAAAUUUUGUUCCAGAAUAAUCGGCUAGACUUUAUAAAUUUGAACUCUAAUUGGUGUUGGUAUGGAAUUUUAGAUUGAGUCUUGUUUUCUAGGGUGAAAUUAGGAAUUUUUAAUAGAAGGUGUUCUAGACUUUAAGAUUUGAAGAACAAACCAGAUUAGUACCUGGUUAGACAAAAAUUAAAAAAGCAGGAGUAAAGUUGUAUUUAAACUGUAAGAAUAUUGGCAGGUCUUUAAAUUAUCUUUGGAGGUUGAGUAGUAAUUGAGAACCCUCAUUAACAGCUUUUGUUUUGGGCGCAUGUAUGAUCGUUUAUUUUAUGCUUAAGGUUUGUAAUUUUAGGUUUAUUCUACUGUAAAAAUAGAUAAAUACUUGGUCUAUACAGAAGAUUUAAUUUGACCUACACUAUAUUAUUUUGUGGAUACCUUUUUAGUAUUGAGGUUGAAAAUGUAAAAGACAGUAAGUUUUUCUUUAUGUAAAACUGAAGUUUAUUUGGGGGCGGUACAAAUCAUCCAUCAAUUGCCUUUAGGGGAGUAAGUUGUAGUAAAGUAGAGUUAGGGGAACCUGUCUCUAGUAAUUUUAA